RNAcentral lists this unclassified non-coding RNA (629 nucleotides) under Hevea brasiliensis (rubber tree). The record is from RNAcentral. Lineage: Eukaryota; Viridiplantae; Streptophyta; Magnoliopsida; Malpighiales; Euphorbiaceae.
GGGAUUCUAUUUAGCAUUUGUCUUGAUAUUGUUCAGUAGGAAAGAUGAGUGACAACUUGAUGGAUAAAGUUAAUGCCUUGGGUGAACGCUUAAAGAUUAGUGGGACAGAGAUGAGCCGAAAGAUGAGUGCAGGUGUCAGCUCUAUGAGUUUUAAAAUGAAGGAACUCUUUCAAGGUCCAAACCAGGGUGAUAAGCUUGCUGAGGAUGCCACAUCAGAGACUCUGGAAGAGCCGGAUUGGGCCCUGAAUCUUGAAAUAUGUGACAUGGUUAAUUCUGAGAAAAUCAACAGCAUUGACUUGAUUCGCGGGGUUAAAAAACGUUUAAUGUUGAAAAAUCCCAGGAUCCAGUAUUUGGCAUUGGUGCUGCUUGAGACAUGUGUUAAAAAUUGUGAGAAGUCUUUCUCCGAGGUGGCAGCUGAGAGAGUUCUUGAUGAGAUGGUGAAGUUAAUUGAUGAUCCACAAACUGUUGUUAAUAAUCGGAACAAGGCUUUAAUGUUGAUUGAAGCAUGGGGAGAAUCAACUAGCGAGCUUCGAUAUUUGCCUGUUUACGAAGAAACAUACAAGAGUUUAAAAUCAAGAGGCAUUCGGUUCCCUGGUCGGGACAAUGAGAGUCUUGCACCCAUUUUCACC